This 437-nucleotide long non-coding RNA is filed under the name Homo sapiens (human). RNAcentral's name for it is "non-protein coding lnc-CYR61-2:1". The record is from RNAcentral. Lineage: Eukaryota; Metazoa; Chordata; Mammalia; Primates; Hominidae.
AGCUUUUUAUAGUCUUCAACAACAACCAGUCCCUACAUUUAAGAAGGUUAAUAACUGAGACAGCCUUCCUGGUGGAUCCAUCAUUUGGCCCAGCUUGUAGAAAGAUUCCCAACUAGCUCUAAUUAGUUCCAUCUUAUUUGGAGGCAGAGGUAUUCCUCAUCAUACCCAUAUCCUCAUAUAAAUUGUCCAGUGCCCUAGGUACCAGGGAGAAAGAAGACGAAGAAGGACAUAUACCAGAAGCACAUUAAUAGGCUGCUGAAAAACUCUGCCACACUUUCAGAUGACAGGUCACCUACAGAUAAAUGAUUCAAGGAUCAACCAAGUUCUGAAGUUUUUUUUUGUUUUUUUUUUUUGGGAUAGAGUCUCACUGUGUCACCCAGGCUGGAGUGCAGUGGCGUGAUCUCAGCUCACUGCAACCUCUGCCUCCCGAGUUCAAG